AUGCGUCGGGUGUCAAGGUACUUAGCGAUUCCGAAGACAGCAGUAGUGGAAGGGCCACCCGAACUCGGCAAGAGGCAGAAGACAAAGCAGAGUGCUCAUGCUCAGGGACGUUGCAACAACAGCAGCAGCCGGAAGUGCACGCGGAAGGAAGGGCCAGUCCCAGGCCGGAUACAGGGAGCAGCAGUGGAGGUCACAAAGGUGAGCUCAUGGCUAGCAGCAACAACAAGGCGAGGAACGGGACAGAGCUGGCGUGUUCGAGGUGGAGGUCACCGGAUCCCGUGA
Molecule: ribosomal RNA, 282 nt
Filed under: Triticum aestivum (bread wheat)
Lineage: Eukaryota; Viridiplantae; Streptophyta; Magnoliopsida; Poales; Poaceae
Description: partial small subunit ribosomal RNA
Source: RNAcentral